AACGAACGCUGGCGGCAUGCCUAACACAUGCAAGUCGAACGAGACCUUCGGGUCUAGUGGCGCACGGGUGCGUAACGCGUGGGAACCUGCCCUUAGGUUCGGAAUAACUCCCCGAAAGGGGUGCUAAUACCGGAUAAUGUCUUCGGACCAAAGAUUUAUCGCCUUUGGAUGGGCCCGCGUUGGAUUAGCUAGUUGGUAGGGUAAAAGCCUACCACGGCGACGAUCCAUAGCUGGUCUGAGAGGAUGAUCAGCCACACUGGGACUGAGACACGGCCCAGACUCCUGCGGGAGGCAGCAGUGGGGAAGAAUGGACCAUGGGCGGGAGACUGAUCCAGCAAUGCCGCGUGAAUGAUGAAGGCCUUAGGGUUGUAAAGCUCUUUUACCCGGGAUGAUAAUGACAGUACCGGGAGAAUAAGCUCCGGCUAACUCCGUG
This 433-nucleotide ribosomal RNA is filed under the name uncultured bacterium. Its description in RNAcentral is "partial 16S ribosomal RNA". It matches the Rfam family "Bacterial small subunit ribosomal RNA", at positions 29 to 507 of the family's 1533-position model. The record is from RNAcentral.